Molecule: ribosomal RNA, 1251 nt
Filed under: metagenome
Description: SSU rRNA
Rfam family: Eukaryotic small subunit ribosomal RNA
Source: RNAcentral
AGUCUGGUGCCAGCAGCCGCGGUAAUUCCAGCUCCGGUAGCGUAUAUUAAAGUUGUUGCAGUUUAAAAGCUCGUAGUUGGACGUCUGGCGUGGUUUUUUGGGCGGGUGCCGCCCUUUUGCGGCGCACCACUGCCUUUUUAAAAAGCCUGCCAUCCUGCCGGAGAGGCCGCCUGCCCUUUACUGGGACGGGGCGCGCCGGUCCGGCUCGUUUACUUUGAAAAAAUUAGAGUGUUCAAAGCAGGCUUACGCCUCUGAAUAUAUUAGCAUGGAUAAUAAGAUAGGACUUUUGUUUUAUUUUGUUGGUUUCUAAAACGAAAGUAAUGAUUGAUAGGGACAGUUGGGGGUGCUAGUAUUUGGCGGCCAGAGGUGAAAUUCUUGGAUUCGCUAAAGACUAACUAAUGCGAAAGCAUUCACCAAGGAUGUCUUCUUUAAUCAAGAACGAAAGUUGGGGGAUCGAAGAGGAUCAGAUACCCUCGUAGUCUCAACCAUAAACGAUACCGACUAGGGAUCGGCGGGCGCUGUUACCGCGUUCACUCGCGGUUUUUGGCCCCGUCGGCACCUUGUGAGAAAUCAAAGUCUUUGGGUUCCGGGGGGAGUAUGGUCGCAAGGCUGAAACUUAAAGGAAUUGACGGAAGGGCACCACCAGGAGUGGAGCCUGCGGCUUAAUUUGACCCAACACGGGAAAACUUACCAGGUCCAGACAUAGUGAGGAUUGACAGAUUGAAGAUCUUUCUUGAUUCUAUGGGUGGUGGUGUAUGGCCGUUCUUAGUUGGUGGAGUGAUUUGUCUGGUUUAUUCCGUUAACGAACGAGACCUCGACCUGCUUAAUAGGACCCCCUGCACUCGCUGCAGGGCGGCGCCUUCUAAGAGGGACUAUCGGUGCUUAGCCGGUGGAAGUUCGAGGCAAUAACAGGUCUGUGAUGCCCUUAGAUGUUCUGGGCCGCACGCGCGCUACACUGACGCAUUCAUCAAGCCUACAACCUUGGCCGAGAGGCCUGGGUAAUCUUUUGAACGUGCGUCGUGAUGGGGAUAGAUUAUUGCAAUCCUUAAUCUUCAACGAGGAAUUCCUAGUAAACGCACGUCAUCAGCGUGCAUUGAUUACGUCCCUGCCCUUUGUACACACCGCCCGUCGCUACUACCGAUUGAAUGCUUUAGUGAGGCGCAUGGAUCUCCCCUCGCGGUGGCAACACCGCGCGGGGAGAAAAGUGCUCCAAACUUGAACAUUUAGAGGAAGUAAAAGUCGUAACAAGGU